RNAcentral lists this ribosomal RNA (488 nucleotides) under uncultured bacterium. Its description in RNAcentral is "bacterial SSU rRNA". It matches the Rfam family "Bacterial small subunit ribosomal RNA", at positions 33 to 507 of the family's 1533-position model. The record is from RNAcentral.
GACGACGCUGGCGGCGUGGGAUUAGGCAUGCAAGUCGAACGGUAGGAUACCUUCGGGUAUCUGAGAGUGGCGAACGGGUGAGUAACACGUAGGUGAUCUACCCUCAAGAUUGGGACAACCCAGGGAAACUUGGGCUAAUACCGGAUGAAAGCAGCAGUGAUGUUGUUUGAAAGGUGGCGUAAGCUGCCGUUUGGGGAUGAGCCUGCGCUCUAUUAGUUAGUUGGCGGGGUAAAGGCCCACCAAGGCGAUGAUAGAUAGGCGGCCUUAACGGGUGGUCGCCCACACUGGGAUUGAGAUACGGCCCAGACUCCUACGGGAGGCAGCAGUCGAGAAUAGUCUACAAUGGCCGAAAGGCUGAUAGUGCGACGCCGCGUGAACGAAGAAGCCCUUCGGGGUGUAAAGUUCUUUUAUAUGUGAGCAGUGCUUCUUAUAUUAACAGUAUGGGGAGAGAGAUAUUAGCAUAUGAAUAAGCAACGGCUAACUCCGUG